Molecule: transfer RNA, 71 nt
Filed under: Candidatus Iainarchaeum sp.
Lineage: Archaea; Nanobdellati; Candidatus Iainarchaeota; Candidatus Iainarchaeia; Candidatus Iainarchaeales; Candidatus Iainarchaeaceae
Description: tRNA-Gly
Rfam family: tRNA
About the family: Transfer RNA (tRNA) molecules are approximately 80 nucleotides in length. Their secondary structure includes four short double-helical elements and three loops (D, anti-codon, and T loops).
Source: RNAcentral
GCGAAUGUGGUUUAGUGGUAGAAUUCGACCUUGCCAAGGUCGGGACCCGGGUCCGAUCCCCGGCAUUCGCA